GCCACCUUAGCUCAGUUGGUAGAGCGCCCGCCUUGUAAGCGGAUUGUCGCCGGUUCGAUCCCGGCAGGUGGCUCCA
RNAcentral lists this transfer RNA (76 nucleotides) under Candidatus Altimarinota bacterium. Its description in RNAcentral is "tRNA-Thr". It matches the Rfam family "tRNA". Rfam says of the family: Transfer RNA (tRNA) molecules are approximately 80 nucleotides in length. Their secondary structure includes four short double-helical elements and three loops (D, anti-codon, and T loops). Lineage: Bacteria; Candidatus Altimarinota. The record is from RNAcentral. RNAcentral also lists the same sequence under 2 other names.